Molecule: long non-coding RNA, 2630 nt
Organism: Lycium ferocissimum
Lineage: Eukaryota; Viridiplantae; Streptophyta; Magnoliopsida; Solanales; Solanaceae
Exons: 3
Source: RefSeq, a predicted model, not a curated record
GAAAACUCCCUUUCCAUUCACUUUUAUACCUUUUUAGUAAAGUAAAUAUACAUUUGGCUAUUUCACUGGUUUACGGAAAAUCUUCUUCCUUCAUAGAAGAAUUGUGGAAAAAGCCCCUUUCUUCAGAGAAGAAAAAAGAAGAUAAGGGUCGGCCACUUUGGAUUCCGCAAGAUUUUCAAAGUCAAAUUUCCUCAAGAGAAGAAAGCAGGAAAAUACUUUGAUUGAUAGAAAUGCCAGCUAAACAAAAGGAAGCUCUGCUAGAAUGACAUCGCGUAGACUAUUCUGCAAGAAUGAGUCGUCUUUCUCCUUCAAACAUGAUUCCAUUGCCGACUACUAGCUUCAUUAGAGACGGACUUUCUGCUCCUUCUGCCAAGAAACAACCAACUCAAUGUGUCAGUGUGUAUGAAAUAGGUUAGCAUAAAUUAACUUUUAGAAUUUAAAAGUAUAGCUAGAUAGUUAUUCACUAGACGCUCAUACAUUCAAUCUUAUAGGAUUAACAUCCGGAAUAUGUAAUCACUGUUCUGACUUACACCAAUCGCCACUAACUAUCAGUGGUCUUUUUGUACCAAACUGUUACAUUACUUAUUCCAUCCUUUUAGGUUUGACUCUUACUAAACUAGACUAGGAUUCUGUAGGGCGCAAAUCAACACCGAUGGGUUGUUAGACUAUCAAAUAACUACUUUGUAGUCCUUCUGUUUUAAAGAAAGUUCCAAACUGCAAAUUUUGUUAAGCUAGGAGAUUUUAAUAUGACCUUCCUACCUUCUAUUAUAGUAAAGGUUCAGUGAAAUUAGUUUCACACCAGUUACCUUCCGAGUUAAAAAGCCUUUACUUUGGUGUCACUGAUGAAUCCAAUCAUUUUCGUACUUAUAUAAGAACAUACAAUAACAUGUUUGCAUUUACUUCACUUGGAGUAAAGUAAAAUAAGGAAUUAGCAACAAGAACUCAAGGUAUCUAUACCUUUAAAGUUCAAGGACAGACGUACCAUUUUAUAAACAACCUCAUUCCCACCAAUAAUGAAUCAAGAAACUUAUAGCUUUAUUUUUGUGACAAUGAGAAUGAUAUGGUUAACAAAAUGGCCUUUUCAAAAAAUCUGAACAGAUCGGUUAUUGUAAAGUUGGUAGACAUUCUAAAAGUUAAUCUAUACUCUAUGUUUCCGAAAUCUUUAGCGGGCACUCCAAACCUGUCUAAUUUCUACAUCGCACUUAAAUGUGAUUCUUCCUUGUACUAACGAACAUACAAUUUACCCAAUGUCUCAGAAGUUGCAGCUAUGUAGGUUGACUACUACUCAAAUAAUACUAUGUUGACACCGCAUAUUCGAAUUUCCACCAAUGCAAUAGUAGCCAAUUGGUACGCUAUCAUUAUGGUUGUUAUGACCCAUUACAAUAUCCUUUGUUGUUUCCCUACGGAGAAAAUGAGUGACACUGUGGCAUCCAAAAAUUUGUGCAAAAACUAUCACGACCCAUUUUCACUAAGUCGUACGGGUACCUACCUUUCCCACGUUGGUAGGUGAACCCUUAUCCCAACAAUCAUAAAACACAAAUAAAGCGGAAGAAGAUAAAAUAGCGUAAGUCUCAAUGAUAAUAAUAUAAAGAAAUGCGGAAGUAAUGGGAAUCCAACUCCAGUAUCUGGUCUGGUCGUACAAGAGCAUCUACCAAAUACUACAAGUCUGAAUAAUACAUAAUAUCUCAAAAGAUGUCUUGAAAUGGAUAUAAGACAUAAAUAGUAAGAAGAGUCUUCAGGCAGCGAACAUCCUCAUGCUCACCCUGAAGAGACUCGAAUCAGUAAUCCUCGAAUAUCAACCACGAGGGGUAGAAGUAGAUCCAACCUGAUCCUCUGCAUUCAUAAAGAAUGCAACACGUGCGGGUCAGUACAAACAACAAGUAUUGGUAGGUAUCAUAGGCCGACUAAGACUACCUAACGUAUAUAAAGAUGACAAAGCAAGAUAAACAUGUAAAGCAAUAAGGUACAAGUUAACACGAAUCCAUAACCACAGUACAAGUCAUCACCUAUGUUAUAGAAUAUAAACCCAACUAUGCCAAGUAUCAGUAUAACAAUUCCGAACCACAGUAUCACAAUCAUAUCACAACGAGUCAUCACCUAUGUUAUAGCGUCUAAACCCAACUGUGCCAAGUCUCAGUAUAACCAUUCUGAACCAAUGUAUCACAAUCAUAUCACAAUGAGUCAUCACCUAUGUUAUAGCAUCUAAACCCAACUAUGCCAAGUCUCAUUAUAACUAUUCCGAAUAGUACAUCACAAUCACAUCACAACUAUGUCACGUAAAACCAAAAGGCACAAUGCUAUGCAAUGAAAUAUGUAAUAUGGAUGCAAUGCCAAUGCAGUCUUUGUACAACAUGUCCCGAACGGAAUACCUCCACGUCUCAAUGAUCUUGACCCAUGGGGAACCCGCGAAGUCCAUAUACCACUCGUCCCGGCAACAACCUCGGCGACGAGCACUCUCGAUCCCGACAAGAGACCUCAGGCAUCGAGCACUAAUUCAUUCCUGGAAAGAGACCUCGGGCAACAUACACUCAUUUAGUUCCGGUAAAUUAUCUCGAAUCACGGACUCUCAUCUUUCUUUUACGCUCUCCAGCAAAGACCUCGGAGGCUACACUCUCUCACUUAUCAUCAUC